AGUGAACGCUGGCGGUAGGCCUAACACAUGCAAGUCGAACGGCAGCACAGGAGAGCUUGCUCUCUGGGUGGCGAGUGGCGGACGGGUGAGGAAUACAUCGGAAUCUACUCUGUCGUGGGGGAUAACGUAGGGAAACUUACGCUAAUACCGCAUACGACCUACGGGUGAAAGCAGGGGACCUUCGGGCCUUGCGCGAUUGAAUGAGCCGAUGUCGGAUUAGCUAGUUGGCGGGGUAAAGGCCCACCAAGGCGACGAUCCGUAGCUGGUCUGAGAGGAAGAUCAGCCACCAUGGAACUGAGACACGGUCCAGACUCCGACGGGAGGCAGCAGUGGGGAAUAUUGGACAAUGGGCGCAAGCCUGAUCCAGCCAUACCGCGUGGGGGAAGAAGGCCUUCGGGUUGUAAAGCCCUUUUGUUGGGAAAGAAAUCCAGCUGGCUAAUACCCGGUUGGGAUGACGGUACCCAAAGAAUAAGCACCGGCUAACUUCGUGCCAGCAGCCGCCGUAA
This 506-nucleotide ribosomal RNA is filed under the name uncultured bacterium. Its description in RNAcentral is "partial 16S ribosomal RNA". It matches the Rfam family "Bacterial small subunit ribosomal RNA", at positions 29 to 523 of the family's 1533-position model. The record is from RNAcentral.